ACAUAUAUUAGCCCUUCUUUAUCCAUCACUGGUGUCUCUUUAAAUCCUGAAUCGAGGCUUGGAAUGACUUCCACUGGCAUCAGAUUGAGUAACCCCUUCGGUAAGAUUUGGUUAACCACUUCCCUGCUAUUGAAGGAUAGGCACAGCUUUUGAGCCUCCCCUGCAGAGACACCUGGAAUAGGUCACAUAAUCCAACCUGAGGGACUAUCUGGAGCAGUAUGAGGGAGACAAGUCCAUCUAGGCACCGUAAGAAUCACAAUAAUGUGAUUGAAGAUACCUUCAACAGCUGCUGCAACAGGAAGACUGCUCAGUAUUUGUCUCCCUUGGGAUGACUCUUGUAGGAUCUAAUCUGCAUGAAAUCUGCCUUUGACUACAGCUGGCAAACUGCUAAAUACAAAAUCAUGGUUAAUAAAGGAUCAGACCAAUUUGACUCAUCAUUGUAAAAAUAAUAAAAUUUAAUAUUUAAAUAAUAGUGAUGAAACUUUGUUUUGUGUCGUCUAAAAUAUUCACAGAAGAGUUAAAAUGAAGGGUAAAAUUCUGUGAUGUAUAGCUGAGUGUAAUUCUCAGAAAUGUGAAUUAAUGUAAAAUUGUUUUGUUCAGAAACCAGAGAUCCAGGGCAUGCUGAAAACUGUGGAUAUGAGACAGUACAGUAUAAAAUAAAUGAGCAACUAUAUUGAGGGCAUUUGUCUUAUCAAUUUUUCAUCAAAAAUAUUACCAGAAGCUGCUACAGAACUUAGAGAAUUUUUGUAAGAGUAUAGUAGAGCUGGAUGUUGAAUCUAUGUUAAAUUUCCUCCUGUCUUCAAGGAAGAUUUAUUGUAGUAAAGCAUUCUCAAUUUUAUUUACCUGUUUUCAUUCCUUCAUAAUCACUUUAAAGAGGAUAAAAGAAUAAAUAGUUGUAUUUCACACAAAAGACCAAAACAUCUUAUGCUUUACAAUCACGUAAAACCUCCCUCCCCAAUGAAAUAACUUCCAUACACAUUUGGUAAACUCUUUUUCUAUUUACAUCAGCAGUAUGGUCCCAGCUGAACUCAGUGCAGUCAGAAAUACACUCAAUGAAUCUUCUUCCUUUAGGCAAUUUCUUAGAUUUUCUUUAGCAUGUUAAGAGUGAAAAUUGUUUAUAAGAAUUAUGUACAAAUUUUAAUGAGAUGUAUUUUUAAAAUGUUUACUUUAUGCAAAGCAUUUUGCCUUGUUUAGCAAAAGAUUUCUUAAUUUAAAAAAAAUUUCUAGCCAUGUUUUUGAUAAAUACAGAUUUCAACACUUC
Corvus hawaiiensis (hawaiian crow) is the source of this 1261-nucleotide long non-coding RNA. RefSeq lists it as uncharacterized. The transcript has 2 exons. Lineage: Eukaryota; Metazoa; Chordata; Aves; Passeriformes; Corvidae. The record is from RefSeq and is a predicted model, not a curated record.